GGAAAAACGACACGGGAGCUGGCCAAG
RNAcentral lists this non-coding RNA (27 nucleotides) under Mus musculus (house mouse). Lineage: Eukaryota; Metazoa; Chordata; Mammalia; Rodentia; Muridae. The record is from RNAcentral.